CCUACGGGAGGCAGCAGUGGGGAAUAUUGGACAAUGGGGGCAACCCUGAUCCAGCCAUGCCGCGUGUGUGAAGAAGGCCCUCGGGUUGUAAAGCACUUUCAGUGAGGAAGAACGCCUGGUGGUUAAUACCCAUCAGGAAAGACAUCACUCACAGAAGAAGCACCGGCUAACUCCGUGCCAGCAGCCGCGGUAAUACGGAGGGUGCGAGCGUUAAUCGGAAUUACUGGGCGUAAAGCGCGCGUAGGUGGCUUGAUAAGCCGGUUGUGAAAGCCCCGGGCUCAACCUGGGAACGGCAUCCGGAACUGUCAAGCUAGAGUGCAGGAGAGGAAGGUAGAAUUCCCGGUGUAGCGGUGAAAUGCGUAGAGAUCGGGAGGAAUACCAGUGGCGAAGGCGGCCUUCUGGCCUGACACUGACACUGAGGUGCGAAAGCGUGGGUAGCAAACAGGAUUAGAUACCCUUGUAGUC
This 465-nucleotide ribosomal RNA is filed under the name Vreelandella stevensii. RNAcentral describes it as "partial 16S ribosomal RNA". It matches the Rfam family "Bacterial small subunit ribosomal RNA", at positions 338 to 795 of the family's 1533-position model. The record is from RNAcentral. Lineage: Bacteria; Pseudomonadati; Pseudomonadota; Gammaproteobacteria; Oceanospirillales; Halomonadaceae.